Molecule: ribosomal RNA, 221 nt
Filed under: Prevotella sp. 885
Lineage: Bacteria; Pseudomonadati; Bacteroidota; Bacteroidia; Bacteroidales; Prevotellaceae
Description: Bacterial large subunit ribosomal RNA
Rfam family: Bacterial large subunit ribosomal RNA
Source: Rfam by way of RNAcentral
AAGAAAGUAGAAAAGGGCGCAAGGCGGAUGCCUUGGCUCACGGAGGCGAUGAAGGACGUGAUAAGCUGCGAUAAGCCUCGGGUAGAUGCAAAUAAUCUCUGAUCCGAGGAUUUCCGAAUGGGACAACCCGUCUGUCUGAAGGACAGUCACUAUCUUAAGAUAGAGCUAACGCAGGGAACUGAAACAUCUUAGUACCUGCAGGAAGAGAAAAUAAACUAAUG